This is a long non-coding RNA of Oncorhynchus tshawytscha (Chinook salmon), 2641 nucleotides long. The record is from Ensembl. Lineage: Eukaryota; Metazoa; Chordata; Actinopteri; Salmoniformes; Salmonidae.
GUGGUUGGACGUUUUAUUGCUCCCUUUCUCUUUCUCUCCUCCUCUCUCUCUCUCCCUCUCUUUCUCCUCCUCUCUCGCUGUCUCCCCUCAGUCUCUCAGUCCCUCUUUAUCCGUCCGUGAGUUUGUUUGCCUUGGCGAGUGCAACAACUGGCUCCGAUCAGUGACUUUCCAAUCUUCUUGUUUUUAUUUGAUUUUUUUCCCCCUUAAUGAGUGAGCUGUGCCUACGUUCUCUACCACCUACCAUACUGGAAGAGUGCAUCUCCGGGACUAGAACGACUGGCUGGCUGGUUGGCUGGUUGCCUUACUGACUGUUUGACUGACAGACUCGGUGGGUCUUGGGUGCUUUGGGGCUGUGGCGUCCAGCAUAGAGGCUGAAGAUAUACAGGGGGGGUUACGCCUGUUUCAAUGCACCAGCGGCGGCAGUAGGAGCACAUAUUUCCCUGCGCUCUGUCCUCUGUGCUCCCUGCUCUCACUAGCAUGGUAAACCACAUGAAUCAAGCAUGGAACGGGGCCGCACGGCGCCGUCGGCAGCAACUGCAGCCUUAACGAUCCCAGUCUUCUCCUCGCAGGCGAGGCGACGUCAGAUGACUGACUCUCCGGCUUUGUGCACAGUGGAAGGGAAGCUCUCUCUCAGGAGGAACAGGAUUUUAAGGGGCUCUCAUUUUGCUUGGAUUUGCGUCAGUAAAAGCUGAUUGCCCAGUGCCACAGAGGAGUGCAAUCGAAUGAAGGGAAUUCCGAGGAGAAGAAUGGUCUGAUUGGUGCCUGCAGAACACAUCUGACAUGGAGGGCCCCACCUGCCCCAUCCUCGGGCAGCAGGCUAUCUUCAAUCAAUCACUCAACUCAUAGAGAACAUGACAUCACUCAGGCUCACACUACUAUUGAGGACCUCUUGAGUUCCCCUGCUGCUGUCCCCAAUGCCCUCUCUUCUCUUCCUCCCCCUCCUCUGUGACUCUCUUCGGUGACGGGUAUUCUUGGGUGGAUAAUACGGAUCACGUUGUUAUUGCUUAAGAAUACGCGUAGUUGAGGAGAGUCCUCUCGACACUGACUUGGAGGAGCUAAAGGAGCUAACGUCCCGCUGCAUGAGCCAAAGUAGAGCCAGGAUGACUGCCUGGUUUCCAUAUCCAGGACCAUUUAUCAAGUAACUGGACAGAUUAACAAAGCCUAAUUACUUUACUGGGCUUUCAGCUACGCUUUCCAGCCCCUAUAGACGCUAGCAGCAAAAAGAGAGAAAGCGAGAGAGAGAGAGAGAGAGAGAGAGAGAGAGAGAGAGAGGGAGGGAGAUAUUAAACUCUUACAGUUACCUCUCCCAGGAUGUUUUUUCGCAGUAUCGUAUUAUUGUGCAGUGUAAUAUGAUUUGAUUAACCAUUCUGACGAAUGUUGUGUCUUCUGUGUAUCGACUUCACCAGUGUUUAUUUAUUAUUUAGCAUUUUGUACAAUUUGUUCAUUUUGCCUUUCCGGAUGAAACAGGCUAUUAUGUUCGUUUUCACUUUAGGGAGUCGUGUCUUGUACUACAGGCUUGCUUGGUGCAGUAAUGGACAUUUUUAUUGGUCUUAAAAAUACAAAAGACCUCCUACGCAACAUUUAGCUUGCAUACAAAUAGAUUUUGUGGUAACACGGUUUCUGGCCUCAGGACUGCUGCCCAGAGAUGACCAUAUUGCCUGCGGAUACCUCAUUGAGAGUGAAAGAGUAGAUUGGGAGAAUAUGUCAGGAGAAUGAAAAACUAUGAAGGAGUAACUGAAUUUGAACCCAACAUAUGUAUAUUAUACCUCAAUCCUGUGUAUCAAUACUAAAGGAAAUUAUAUUACAGAGAGCUGGUUGUUAGUGAUCACAGAGUAAAUAUCAAUACUCAGAGAAACUGCACUGGCACAUUUAAUUUAUUCCACAAUCUUGCGCCAUACAGGCCAUCCCUCUGGAGAUAAAUUCUGCAAGCCCAGUAACAUCAUUCCCUGACUUAAUGUGUUUGCGACAAAGGGACAUUCUCAUCCAAAAUGAUUUGCACAUCAAGAAGAGUCAUUACGCUUUAAUGGUGUCGGGAAAUGACCCUCUCUUAGCUUACGCUGGUGGAAAUCAAUGAGGCCUGCAUUACAGUGUUAUUGUGGCGGUCAUUUUCUGCUGAAUCAUGCUGUUUAAUUUCUUGCCCUUCGACAAAUCAUCCACCGACUUAUCAAUUUGGCCAGAGAGCUUACGUUUGAUUGCAUUAGAUGAGAUCACAUAAAAUAAAUAACAUAAUUGAAGUUCCUCUAAAAAUGCUACCAUGACAUCUCUUGAGUCUGCUAUGAAUCUAAUGAUCCUAUCAAUCUCAAGCUUAUCUAAGACUGAAAGGAGAAGGCAAAUGUCUGCUCGAGCCUCUAUUGAAUCUAUUUGUACUGUCAUAAUUGGAUCCUACCAGUAGGGGAGCACUGUAGCUCACAGUCAGACAAUGAACUCAAUGAACUGUUAGCAAAGCUGUGUGUUUGGCAGGACAAAUGGGCAUAUGCUUUUGACCUUCUGUAAUUUCCGUUUAUGACAUUUUGAACAUCAUUUUCUCAUCAGACAUUUUCGUUAAUUGAUUGUAUCUAUUUUAAUGGCAUGUUGAAAACCCAGACAAUCUGUAAAAUAUUGUGGUCCGAAAACAAUAUGACAAACAAUAAACAAACCAUUU